UCUUGGGGUAGACAGGCAUGUGCUGGGAUGGCAUGCCAAGGCAUGUGCUGGGAUGGCAUGCCUUGGCGUGUGCUGGGAUGGCAUGCCAAGGACAAGCAUGUGCUAGGAAGGCAUGCCAAGGCCAAGACAAGGCCAUGGCAAGCACAUGCAUUGCGAGCGAGACGAGAUGGUUACGUUUACCCAAGAGUGCCCAAGGGAGAGGAAAAGGUGUCAAACGCAUGCUGAGCCCCACUUCGGUAGUUUGGCACCCCCAUAGGCAUUCAGGCAAACAAGCCUAUGGGAGGAGUCUGUUGAGCUUGGUUGCCAUGUUGGGUAUUAUUCUAUGGAUGAGAUGAUGGCACAAGGAUGCUUGCUAGGUAACGUUUUGGCACCAGACCGCAAAUGCUACUUCAAGCUUCAGCGGGUGGAAUCUGCCUAUAGGGCGUUGCUUGCUUGCUGUGGAGUUGGGACACGCCCAAUAUCUAUCAUCGACCCAACGAAGUGCUCAACAUGGGUUGCUGAGGGCUAUUUUGGCACAGAUGGUUCACUUGUUUGCUUGGCUUUGAUAAACGUUUAGAUGUCAUGAUGCUUGGGAUCCAAUAAAUUUAUGUGGGAAGCUGAGAGCUGGAACCCAAUGUCAUUCACCAGACGGCUUAGCUUCGUCAGUGUGUAUAAUAUGUCAUUGAACCCCAAUCCUCGAUGCCAACCUGAUUAUGACUUUUGGAUCGCAAUUAUCAUGGCUAUCAAAAACUGAGUAGGAGUCAUGGAAUAAGUGAACAAUUUGUAGCCUUUAUUGCUCUUAGCUUUCGCAUCGCCCGGUGUGUUUUGGGAAUCGCUUUGUUCAUUUGGUUGCCUGCCGUGCCUCUUGGCAUACGGUGGGUGCCACUUGCCGGGUGGUUUUCGGAAACAUCCACCGUAAAGGUGCAUGAGUGGUGUUUGGUUUGUUACGGGUGGUUGGCUCUUUGCUUGUGCAACAACUGCCACCCGACUUACCUCUUCAGAUGUUUGCCUAGGCUUGUAUGGCCUAAGCAGAUUGUGGGUUUCCUGUGUUGCCUACCUACAUCAUGGAAUUGUCCGGAUCGAUCAAAGUUGCUUUCGUCUUGUGUCGUCUUGAUGGCAUAAGAUGAACCAUGAAGCUGUCUCUUUGCACCGCAUCGUUAAUGCAUGCAUUGAUGUUGUGGCCCAUUGAGCAUUGCUUGGUACCUUGGAUACGGAACCUUAUGUGGGCAUGGGUCCUCAGGGAUCCUUUCUGCCCUCGUUUAGCGUUCGCGCUUCUCUUAGAAUGACUGCCCAUCUGGAAUGGGAAGCCAUCCGGAUGGGCAUU
This 1303-nucleotide unclassified non-coding RNA is filed under the name Helianthus debilis subsp. cucumerifolius. RNAcentral describes it as "partial external transcribed spacer". The record is from RNAcentral. Lineage: Eukaryota; Viridiplantae; Streptophyta; Magnoliopsida; Asterales; Asteraceae.